GUUUGCGUAGCUCAGCUGGAUAGAGCGUCCGCCUCCUAAGCGGAAGGUCGUGCGUUCGAAUCGCAUCGCGAACA
This 74-nucleotide transfer RNA is filed under the name Butyrivibrio sp. Its description in RNAcentral is "tRNA-Arg". It matches the Rfam family "tRNA". Rfam says of the family: Transfer RNA (tRNA) molecules are approximately 80 nucleotides in length. Their secondary structure includes four short double-helical elements and three loops (D, anti-codon, and T loops). Further hydrogen bonds mediate the characteristic L-shaped molecular structure. tRNAs have two regions of fundamental functional importance: the anti-codon, which is responsible for specific mRNA codon recognition, and the 3' end, to which the tRNAs corresponding amino acid is attached (by aminoacyl-tRNA synthetases). tRNAs cope with the degeneracy of the genetic code in two manners: having more than one tRNA (with a specific anti-codon) for a particular amino acid; and 'wobble' base-pairing, i.e. permitting non-standard base-pairing at the 3rd anti-codon position. Lineage: Bacteria; Bacillati; Bacillota; Clostridia; Lachnospirales; Lachnospiraceae. The record is from RNAcentral.